This 23-nucleotide non-coding RNA is filed under the name Arabidopsis thaliana (thale cress). Lineage: Eukaryota; Viridiplantae; Streptophyta; Magnoliopsida; Brassicales; Brassicaceae. The record is from RNAcentral.
AGCGUAGAAAGUGGAGCUUGCCA